UGAACGCUGGCGGCGUGCCUAAUACAUGCAAGUCGAGCGAACAGAUAAGGAGCUUGCUCCUUUGACGUUAGCGGCGGACGGGUGAGUAACACGUGGGUAACCUACCUAUAAGACUGGGAUAACUUCGGGAAACCGGAGCUAAUACCGGAUAACAUUUGGAACCGCAUGGUUCUAAAGUGAAAGAUGGUUUUGCUAUCACUUAUAGAUGGACCCGCGCCGUAUUAGCUAGUUGGUAAGGUAACGGCUUACCAAGGCGACGAUACGUAGCCGACCUGAGAGGGUGAUCGGCCACACUGGAACUGAGACACGGUCCAGACUCCUACGGGAGGCAGCAGUAGGGAAUCUUCCGCAAUGGGCGAAAGCCUGACGGAGCAACGCCGCGUGAGUGAUGAAGGGUUUCGGCUCGUAAAACUCUGUUAUUAGGGAAGAACAAACGUGUAAGUAACUGUGCACGUCUUGACGGUACCUAAUCAGAAAGCCACGGCUAACUACGUG
This 495-nucleotide ribosomal RNA is filed under the name uncultured bacterium. Its description in RNAcentral is "partial 16S ribosomal RNA". It matches the Rfam family "Bacterial small subunit ribosomal RNA", at positions 30 to 507 of the family's 1533-position model. The record is from RNAcentral.